CCUACGGGGGGCAGCAGUGGGGAAUAUUGCACAAUGGGGGAAACCCUGAUGCAGCAACGCCGCGUGAGCGAUGAAGGCCUUCGGGUCGUAAAGCUCUGUCCUAAGGGAAGAAUACUGACGGUACCUUAGGAGGAAGCCCCGGCUAACUACGUGCCAGCAACCGCGGUAAUACGUAGGGGGCUAGCGUUAUCCGGACUUACUUGCCGUAAAGGGUCCGUAGUCGGCCUUUCAAGUCAGAGGUGAAAGGCUACGGAUCAACCGUAGUAAGCCUUUGAAACUGUAGGGCUGGGGUGCAGGAGAGGAGAGUGGAAUUACCAGUGUAGCGGGGAAAUGCGUAGAUAUUGGGAGGAACACCAGUUGCAAAGGCGGCAGUAUGGACUGUAACUGACGCUGAGGCACGAAAGCGUGGGGAGCGAACAGGAUUAGAUACCCCUGUAGUC
This 440-nucleotide ribosomal RNA is filed under the name uncultured bacterium. Its description in RNAcentral is "bacterial SSU rRNA". It matches the Rfam family "Bacterial small subunit ribosomal RNA", at positions 338 to 795 of the family's 1533-position model. The record is from RNAcentral.